UGGAGCAACAGCACCCCCGUGGCUGGCCCUGUCCUUUAGGGGCCACGCCCCUCUGUCGUCGACUCCCCUCUGGUCAGCAGGGACUCGCAGGCUCCCGUGAUGACGGCACAGACCUCACUCACACCCGGUUCACGGGCUCCGCGUGUAUUUAUCGAGCCCCUGGCUGUGAGUCAGGUGGGGACAUGAUGAGAGAGAGAGCGUGAGUGGGGGAGGAACAGAGAGAGAGGGAGACACAGAAUCGGAAGCAGGCUCUCCAGCUCUCGGCCCCGGCUCACCCCGCUGGUCCUUCCAUGAUGUCGGGGCUGGAAAGGUACAAGGGGACAUUGAGUCAGCCUCCUCACUGACAGACGGGAGGCCCAGGGCUCUGGAGCGAAAGAGACCAGACAAAGUCCGAACUGUGUUGGUCCCAGGUCCCCGCUCCUGAUGAUAAAAUUUCUUUCCCUAUUUGAUCCCUGCCCACACUUGGCCUCGUCCCGGGGUAACCCAAGACUGUACUUCCCAGCAAUGACCCCGGGGCCUUGCAGCUCCUCGAAGCGAAUCUUCUCCCUUUGAAACUCAUUACCCCACGUCCGUUCUCCAACGGGCCUUGCCUCCUAGAACGAGAUGAGUUGAUGCCAGAUGGUGUGUGUGUGGCUGCCUCUCCCUUCCUCCUUCGGGAGCUUCAAAUCCUGGCUCCAGAUCUCACUUGCUGUGUGACGUUGAGCAUCACUCAGCCUCUCUAGGUGGUGCUGGUCUUACCCAACACAUGAAGGCAAUACAAGCUGCCUUCCAGGGCUCAGGACCGUACUUGUCCACAUUCAAGGAGCUUCCGGCAUAGAGCAGUUCCUUGGGCAAUGUGAGCACGUCCCCCGUCCCCAGUCCUAUCCGGCAUGUCUUCCUGCAAACCUUCUUGGGUCCUUUCUUCUCGCUACCGUGUCGGUGCCUAAAAUAACUUUGAGGUUAUCCCCUCCAGGAGAAUUUUAGCAGGGAUCUAUUUUAAAAAGCAGAGCAGCUGAGGAUGUGAAAGUAUUUCGUGUGCGGCGGGGCGGAUGGUGCAAAGAGGGCCGGAGGAGGGGAGGAGGGAGGCGGUGAGCCUUCUCAGGCGGUACCCCUACCCUGGCGGCAGGUGAGAAAACCCCAGUGUUUCGGGCGCUGUUGCAAUCGAGAGACCUGGGAGCGGUCGGGUUUCGAUUUCCGGAAAAACAGAAGGAUGAGGGACAGGGCUUUCAGCAAAGGAGAACCGUAAGUGAGUCACAAGGAGGGAGAAGUCAGGCCAGGAAACUCACAUGACUGUGAAAAGUAUUUGAAUAGAUUCUCUGGAAUGAAUGAAAAGCCUCUGAACCUGACCCUUGUGGUUCUUGUGCUUAAUGAUCGAAGGUGGGGCUGUGCAGACCCAACUUACCCCCGGGGAACUGUCUUUUCUUCUUGAGGACCAAGGAGAAAAGAUCAGAGCCCAACUCUAGACCCACGGAACUGUACGGGCAGGAGGGAAUCUCAGCCGUCAUCCGGUCCUGUCCACCCUCGUACAGACAGUAGACAGAAGCCUGGGGAAGAGAAGGUCGGUGGCACCACUUCACACGAGCCCCUGAGGCCUUCAGCUAUGUAAGAACCACCGGGAGAAGGGUUCUCUGGGAGCAUUUCCUGGUGACACUGGCUCUUUGAAUCCGUUCAGCCCCCAAACGUUAGGGCUAGAAAAGAGAGCCGUAUACACAACAAUGGUGCUUGGGCAUUGCCCCGGCAAGAACGUUGGAAAACAAGAAAACUGUUUUUUGCUCAUCGUUA
Long non-coding RNA from Felis catus (domestic cat), 1761 nucleotides. RefSeq lists it as uncharacterized. The transcript has 2 exons. Lineage: Eukaryota; Metazoa; Chordata; Mammalia; Carnivora; Felidae. The record is from RefSeq and is a predicted model, not a curated record.